Molecule: ribosomal RNA, 372 nt
Filed under: uncultured organism
Description: partial 16S ribosomal RNA
Rfam family: Bacterial small subunit ribosomal RNA
Source: RNAcentral
GUAGGUGGCAAGCGUUGUCCGGAAUUAUUGGGCGUAAAGCGCGCGCAGGCGGUUCUUUAAGUCUGAUGUGAAAGCCCACGGCUCAACCGUGGAGGGUCAUUGGAAACUGGAGAACUUGAGUACAGAAGAGGAAAGCGGAAUUCCACGCGUAGCGGUGAAAUGCGUAGAGAUGUGGAGGAACACCAGUGGCGAAGGCGGCUUUCUGGUCUGUAACUGACGCUGAGGCGCGAAAGCGUGGGGAGCAAACAGGAUUAGAUACCCUGGUAGUCCACGCCGUAAACGAUGAGUGCUAAGUGUUAGGGGGUUUCCGCCCCCCUUAGUGCUGCAGCUAACGCAUUAAGCACUCCGCCUGGGAGUACGGCCGCAAGGCUG